This 301-nucleotide ribosomal RNA is filed under the name uncultured bacterium. Its description in RNAcentral is "partial 16S ribosomal RNA". It matches the Rfam family "Bacterial small subunit ribosomal RNA", at positions 509 to 807 of the family's 1533-position model. The record is from RNAcentral.
CAGCCGCCGCGGUAAUACGUAGGGGGCGAGCGUUGUCCGAAGUUACUGGGCGUAAAGCGCGCGUAGGCGGCUUCUUAAGUCUGAUGUGAAAGCCCCCGGCUCAACCGGGGAGGGUCAUUGGAAACUGGGAAACUUGAGUGCAGAAGAGGAGAGUGGAAUUCCACGUGUAGCGGUGAAAUGCGUAGAGAUGUGGAGGAACACCAGUGGCGAAGGCGACUCUCUGGUCUGUAACUGACGCUGAGGAGCGAAAGCGUGGGGAGCGAACAGGAUUAGAUACCCCAGUAGUCCCUGUCUCUUAUAC